UUUGACCUCAAAUCAGGUAGGACUACCCGCUGAACUUAAGCAUAUCAAUAAGCGGAGGAAAAGAAACUAACAAGGAUUCCCCUAGUAACUGCGAGUGAAGCGGGAAAAGCU
Molecule: ribosomal RNA, 111 nt
Filed under: Amanita sp. 'constricta04'
Lineage: Eukaryota; Fungi; Basidiomycota; Agaricomycetes; Agaricales; Amanitaceae
Description: Amanita sp. 'sp-constricta04' partial 28S ribosomal RNA
Rfam family: Eukaryotic large subunit ribosomal RNA
Source: RNAcentral